This 357-nucleotide unclassified non-coding RNA is filed under the name Hevea brasiliensis (rubber tree). The record is from RNAcentral. Lineage: Eukaryota; Viridiplantae; Streptophyta; Magnoliopsida; Malpighiales; Euphorbiaceae.
AGGAGGGCUCGCCGCUCUCUGACCCUCGACGCUGCUCAUUUUCAAAGAAAUGGAAGAAGUUUAACUAAGAGAAAGGUCAAAACCCUUACCGAAAUGCGAUCGGUGUCGGAAGAACUUGAAGAAAUGACAGAAUUUUGGAAUCGCUCUCGGAGUGCUGAAAAUAACAUAAAGGAGCAACUGACUGACCCUUCCCCCAUUUAUACUCGUCUGAGCAUUCAAUGCUCACAGUGUCCCAAGCGACGCAUCGGUUAGCAGAACCGGCUGCUUCCUCGACACGUCGCAAGUAGGUUCUAGAAACAUAAUAAAAAUCAAAUAAAUGAGAUCAGUUAGCUGAGGUCUUCGGAUUGAACAAACUUC